This 3064-nucleotide ribosomal RNA is filed under the name Salmonella enterica subsp. enterica serovar Enteritidis. RNAcentral's name for it is "bacterial LSU rRNA". It matches the Rfam family "Bacterial large subunit ribosomal RNA". The record is from RNAcentral. Lineage: Bacteria; Pseudomonadati; Pseudomonadota; Gammaproteobacteria; Enterobacterales; Enterobacteriaceae.
GGGUUGUGAGGUUAAGCGACUAAGCGUACACGGUGGAUGCCCUGGCAGUCAGAGGCGAUGAAGGGCGUGCUAAUCUGCGAUAAGCGCCGGUAAGGUGAUAUGAACCGUUAUAACCGGCGAUACCCGAAUGGGGAAACCCAGUGUGACUCGUCACACUAUCAUUAACUGAAUCCAUAGGUUAAUGAGGCGAACCGGGGGAACUGAAACAUCUAAGUACCCCGAGGAAAAGAAAUCAACCGAGAUUCCCCAGUAGCGGCGAGCGAACGGGGAGGAGCCCAGAGCCUGAAUCAGCAUGUGUGUUAGUGGAAGCGUCUGGAAAGGCGCGCGAUACAGGGUGACAGCCCCGUACACAAAAGCGCAUGUGCUGUGAGCUCGAUGAGUAGGGCGGGACACGUGGUAUCCUGUCUGAAUAUGGGGGGACCAUCCUCCAAGGCUAAAUACUCCUGACUGACCGAUAGUGAACCAGUACCGUGAGGGAAAGGCGAAAAGAACCCCGGCGAGGGGAGUGAAAAAGAACCUGAAACCGUGUACGUACAAGCAGUGGGAGCCCCACCACCAAAGCAUUUGCUGUACCGCGUUGACGGAGCGAAGCGACGUCAAACCGAUAAAACAGCAGUGUAAAGUGAGCCGCAGGGCGCUUUGCGCGACAGCGCAAAGGCAGGCGGUUUCGCGUAGCGAAAGCGAAUGCUUUGGGGUGGGGUGACUGCGUACCUUUUGUAUAAUGGGUCAGCGACUUAUAUUCUGUAGCAAGGUUAACCGAAUAGGGGAGCCGGAGGGAAACCGAGUCUUAAUUGGGCGUUAAGUUGCAGGGUAUAGACCCGAAACCCGGUGAUCUAGCCAUGGGCAGGUUGAAGGUUGGGUAACACUAACUGGAGGACCGAACCGACUAAUGUUGAAAAAUUAGCGGAUGACCUGUGGCUGGGGGUGAAAGGCCAAUCAAACCGGGAGAUAGCUGGUUCUCCCCGAAAGCUAUUUAGGUAGCGCCUCGUGAAUUCAUCUCCGGGGGUAGAGCACUGUUUCGGCUAGGGGGCCAUCCCGGCUUACCAACCCGAUGCAAACUGCGAAUACCGGAGAAUGUUAUCACGGGAGACACACGGCGGGUGCUAACGUCCGUCGUGAAGAGGGAAACAACCCAGACCGCCAGCUAAGGUCCCAAAGUCAUGGUUAAGUGGGAAACGAUGUGGGAAGGCCCAGACAGCCAGGAUGUUGGCUUAGAAGCAGCCAUCAUUUAAAGAAAGCGUAAUAGCUCACUGGUCGAGUCGGCCUGCGCGGAAGAUGUAACGGGGCUAAACCAUGCACCGAAGCUGCGGCAGCGACACUGUGUGUUGUUGGGUAGGGGAGCGUUCUGUAAGCCUGUGAAGGUGUGUCGUGAGGCAUGCUGGAGGUAUCAGAAGUGCGAAUGCUGACAUAAGUAACGAUAAAGCGGGUGAAAAGCCCGCUCGCCGGAAGACCAAGGGUUCCUGUCCAACGUUAAUCGGGGCAGGGAGAGUCGACCCCUAAGGCGAGGCCGAAAGGCGUAGUCGAUGGGAAACGGGUUAAUAUUCCCGUACUUGGUGUUACUGCGAAGGGGGGACGGAGAAGGCUAUGUUGGCCGGGCGACGGUUGUCCCGGUUUAAGCGUGUAGGUGUGUGUUCCAGGUAAAUCCGGUUCACUUUAACACUGAGGCGUGACGACGAGGCACUACGGUGCUGAAGCAACAAAUGCCCUGCUUCCAGGAAAAGCCUCUAAGCAUCAGGUAACAUCAAAUCGUACCCCAAACCGACACAGGUGGUCAGGUAGAGAAUACCAAGGCGCUUGAGAGAACUCGGGUGAAGGAACUAGGCAAAAUGGUGCCGUAACUUCGGGAGAAGGCACGCUGACACGUAGGUGAAGUGAUUUACUCAUGGAGCUGAAGUCAGUCGAAGAUACCAGCUGGCUGCAACUGUUUAUUAAAAACACAGCACUGUGCAAACACGAAAGUGGACGUAUACGGUGUGACGCCUGCCCGGUGCCGGAAGGUUAAUUGAUGGGGUCAGCGCAAGCGAAGCUCCUGAUCGAAGCCCCGGUAAACGGCGGCCGUAACUAUAACGGUCCUAAGGUAGCGAAAUUCCUUGUCGGGUAAGUUCCGACCUGCACGAAUGGCGUAAUGAUGGCCAGGCUGUCUCCACCCGAGACUCAGUGAAAUUGAACUCGCUGUGAAGAUGCAGUGUACCCGCGGCAAGACGGAAAGACCCCGUGAACCUUUACUAUAGCUUGACACUGAACAUUGAGCCUUGAUGUGUAGGAUAGGUGGGAGGCUUUGAAGUGUGGACGCCAGUCUGCAUGGAGCCGACCUUGAAAUACCACCCUUUAAUGUUUGAUGUUCUAACGUGGACCCGUUACCCGGGUUGCGGACAGUGUCUGGUGGGUAGUUUGACUGGGGCGGUCUCCUCCUAAAGAGUAACGGAGGAGCACGAAGGUUGGCUAAUCCUGGUCGGACAUCAGGAGGUUAGUGCAAUGGCAUAAGCCAGCUUGACUGCGAGCGUGACGGCGCGAGCAGGUGCGAAAGCAGGUCAUAGUGAUCCGGUGGUUCUGAAUGGAAGGGCCAUCGCUCAACGGAUAAAAGGUACUCCGGGGAUAACAGGCUGAUACCGCCCAAGAGUUCAUAUCGACGGCGGUGUUUGGCACCUCGAUGUCGGCUCAUCACAUCCUGGGGCUGAAGUAGGUCCCAAGGGUAUGGCUGUUCGCCAUUUAAAGUGGUACGCGAGCUGGGUUUAGAACGUCGUGAGACAGUUCGGUCCCUAUCUGCCGUGGGCGCUGGAGAACUGAGGGGGGCUGCUCCUAGUACGAGAGGACCGGAGUGGACGCAUCACUGGUGUUCGGGUUGUCAUGCCAAUGGCACUGCCCGGUAGCUAAAUGCGGAAGAGAUAAGUGCUGAAAGCAUCUAAGCACGAAACUUGCCCCGAGAUGAGUUCUCCCUGAGACUUAGAGUCUCCUGAAGGAACGUUGAAGACGACGACGUUGAUAGGCCGGGUGUGUAAGCGCAGCGAUGCGUUGAGCUAACCGGUACUAAUGAACCGUGAGGCUUAACCUUACAACGCCGAAG